UAGGCCUGAGAGUGCUAGGUUGUUUAUCUAGACCAGCCAAGCUCCGGAGAGCAAUGUUGAAUCCCUGGGAACAGAGAGCAUGGGGCGUGCUGAUUUAAAAACAGAAAAUGCAAAGUUGGACUGAAAAUAUCCUUAGUCUUCCAAGCAAUCUGCUUAAGGGUUCCAAACUUACCUUCAUUUGGUGACAAAAGAAGCUGCCCUAUUUUUCUUUCUUCUUCUUGUUCUUCUACAACUGGAACCAGCCAUUUCCAAAAACCACCACCAUG
RNAcentral lists this non-coding RNA (266 nucleotides) under Felis catus (domestic cat). RNAcentral describes it as "Voltage-gated potassium-channel Kv1.4 IRES". It matches the Rfam family "Voltage-gated potassium-channel Kv1.4 IRES". Rfam says of the family: This family represents the Kv1.4 voltage-gated potassium-channel internal ribosome entry site (IRES). This region has been shown to mediate internal ribosome entry in cells derived from brain, heart, and skeletal muscle, tissues known to express Kv1.4 mRNA species. The record is from Rfam by way of RNAcentral. Lineage: Eukaryota; Metazoa; Chordata; Mammalia; Carnivora; Felidae.